RNAcentral lists this ribosomal RNA (406 nucleotides) under uncultured bacterium. Its description in RNAcentral is "partial 16S ribosomal RNA". It matches the Rfam family "Bacterial small subunit ribosomal RNA", at positions 30 to 526 of the family's 1533-position model. The record is from RNAcentral.
AUUGAACGCUAGCGGCAGGCCUAACACAUGCAAGUCGAGCGAGCGGCGGACGGGUGUGUAAUGUCUGUGGAUCUGCCCGCGGGCGGGGGAUAACUACUGGACACGGUGGCUACUACCGCAUACUGUCGGUUGACCCCCUAUGGGUUUACCUAGUAGGUGGGGUAAAGGCUCACCUAGGCGACGAUCUCUAGCUGGUCUGAGAGGCUGAUCAGCCACACUGGGACUGAGACACGGCCCAGACUCCGACGGGAGGCAGCAGUGGGGAAUAUUGCACGAUGGGCGCGAGGCUGACGAAGCCAUGCCGCGUGUAUGAGGAAGGCCUUAGGGUUGUAAAGUACUUUCAGCGGGGAGGUGUUGCCCACAGAAGAAGUACCGGCUAACUCCGUGCCAGCCGCCGCGGUAAUAC